GAUGCUGAGACGAUUUUGUCCUCGUAAGACUACUCUACUGUUUGUUAUACGAGAUAAAACAAGGUCACAAUUGAAUGAGGCUAUUUUAAGAGAGGAUUAUGGAGAAGCUGCAAAGCUGAAGUUGGCCAUAACUGGUGCUACAAAAAGGAUAUUGUUGGAGCAGCAUUGACUAUUAUGAAUAGAGCUAUAGAGGAAGAGCGAUACAUCGAUGCAACUUUCAUUCGUGAUCAUGUUGGGGCAGGACUGCUACAUGAAGCUAUUCACUCCAUUGAGCUUUAUUCAUUUUGCUAUAUGCAAGGCUAUAACAGUGGUUGCCAAUUCUUAUAUAUUGAUUGAAAAAAAUUCUUCAAAUGUUGAACGCAUACAGAAACUUAAAGCAAUGUUCAGAAAGGGUGCAUGCGACUUAAAUACUGAUGAAAAAGGUAGUUGCUCAGUAUACUGCUUUGUGGUUUUUAUGCAAACUGCACAUCCUCAAGCUUUGAGAUCUUACUAGAGUGUUGCUGCUGUAAUGUUGAGACAUAAGAAAAGGGAGAAAGCUGGGUUUGCAAGCUAAGUCUAUGAAAUUCU
Molecule: long non-coding RNA, 567 nt
Organism: Zingiber officinale
Lineage: Eukaryota; Viridiplantae; Streptophyta; Magnoliopsida; Zingiberales; Zingiberaceae
Exons: 5
Source: RefSeq, a predicted model, not a curated record